This 367-nucleotide long non-coding RNA is filed under the name Olea europaea (common olive). RNAcentral describes it as "long non-coding RNA (OEUR_LNC014240)". Lineage: Eukaryota; Viridiplantae; Streptophyta; Magnoliopsida; Lamiales; Oleaceae. The record is from RNAcentral.
AUCAGUUUGCUAUGGGUAAUCAAAGAAAAACAAAUAGAUACACAGUAUCUGCAUCACAGGCAAUAUUUGCAUUUGGUAAAUUAGUACAUAGAAGAGUAUAGAGAUCCUACUUACUGAAGUAUCAAUAAUACAACAAGAGACAUAAUAAGCCUGUGUGACCAGUUGUUGCAUCGAACUGCCACGUAUAUCAGCCAUUGGAACCCCAUUCUUCUAGUGUUGGGGUCAUCACUCCAAUAUUAUUCAUGUCAAGAAUAUUUGCUGCACAAGAAAACACGAAAAUUAUAUGUAUCAGUAAUUCCUUAUGGACUAGAUUCAAAAAUUGCACCGAGUUUGCCGACACUCAUUCGAUCAUGUUUGGUUAAGCUUU